AUUAGAUACCCUGGGUAGUCCACGCAGUAAACGAUGAUCACUAGCUGUUUGCGAUACAGUGUAAGCGGCACAGCGAAAGCGUUAAGUGAUCCACCUGGGGAGUACGCCGGCAACGGUGAAACUCAAAGGAAUUGACGGGGGCCCGCACAAGCGGAGGAACAUGUGGUUUAAUUCGAUGAUACGCGAGGAACCUUACCCGGGUUUGAACGCAUUCGGACCGAGGUGGAAACACCUUUUCUAGCAAUAGCCGUUUGCGAGGUGCUGCAUGGUUGUCGUCAGCUCGUGCCGUGAGGUGUCGGCUUAAGUGCCAUAACGAGCGCAACCCUUGCCACUAGUUACUAACAGGUUAGGCUGAGGACUCUGGUGGGACUGCCAGCGUAAGCUGCGAGGAAGGCGGGGAUGACGUCAAAUCAGCACGGCCCUUACAUCCGGGGCGACACACGUGUUACAAUGGCGUGGACAAAGGGAAGCCACCUGGCGACAGGGAGCGAAUCCCCAAACCACGUCUCAGUUCGGAUCGGAGUCUGCAACCCGACUCCGUGAAGCUGGAUUCGCUAGUAAUCGCGCAUCAGCCAUGGCGCGGUGAAUACGUUCCCGGGCCUUGUACACACCGCCCGUCAAGCCAUAGGAGCCGGGGGUACCUGAAGUCCGUAACCGAAAGGAUCGGCCUAGGGUAAAACUGGUGACUGGGGCUAAGUCGUAACAAGGUACC
RNAcentral lists this ribosomal RNA (712 nucleotides) under uncultured bacterium. RNAcentral's name for it is "bacterial SSU rRNA". It matches the Rfam family "Bacterial small subunit ribosomal RNA", at positions 777 to 1500 of the family's 1533-position model. The record is from RNAcentral.